GAAACUAACAAGGAUUCCCCUAGUAGCGGCGAGCGAAGCGGGAAGAGCUCAAAUUUAUAAUCUGGCACCUUCGGUGUCCGAGUUGUAAUCUCUAGAAGUGUUUUCCGCGUUGGACCGCACACAAGUCUGUUGGAAUACAGCGGCAUAGUGGUGAAACCCCCGUAUAUGGUGCGGACGCCCAGCGCUUUGUGAUACACUUUCAAUGAGUCGAGUUGUUUGGGAAUGCAGCUCAAAUUGGGUGGUAAAUUCCAUCUAAAGCUAAAUAUUGGCGAGAGACCGAUAGCGAACAAGUACCGUGAGGGAAAGAUGAAAAGCACUUUGGAAAGAGAGUUAACAGUACGUGAAAUUGUUGGAAGGGAAACGCUUGAAGUCAGACUUGCUUGCCGGAGCUUGCUUCGGUUUGCAGGCCAGCAUCAGUUUUCCGGGGUGGAUAAUGACGGUUUGAAGGUAGCAGUCUCGGCUGUGUUAUAGCUUUCCGUUGGAUACGCCCUGGGGGACUGAGGAACGCAGCGUGCUUUUUG
Molecule: ribosomal RNA, 521 nt
Filed under: Rhodotorula sp. 1 PN-2013
Lineage: Eukaryota; Fungi; Basidiomycota; Microbotryomycetes; Sporidiobolales; Sporidiobolaceae
Description: eukaryotic LSU rRNA
Rfam family: Eukaryotic large subunit ribosomal RNA
Source: RNAcentral